UGGGGAAUCUUGGACAAUGGGGGCUACCCUGAUCCAGCCAUGCCGCGUGAUCGAUGAAGGCCUUAGGGUUGUAAAGGUCUUUCAGCUGGGAAGAUAAUGACGGUACCAGCAGAAGAAGCCCCGGCUAACUCCGUGCCAGCAGCCGCGGUAAUACGGAGGGGGCUAGCGUUGUUCGGAAUUACUGGGCGUAAAGCGCACGUAGGCGGAUAGUUAAGUUAGAGGGGAAAGCCCGGGGCUCAACCCCGGAACUGCCUUUGAUACUGGCUGUCUAGAGAUCGAGAGAGGCGGGUGGAAUUCCGAGUGUAGAGGUGAAAUUCGUAGAUAUUCGGAGGAACACCAGUGGCGAAGGCGGCUCGCUGGCUCGAUACUGACGCUGAGGUGCGAAAGCGUGGGGAGCAAACA
This 402-nucleotide ribosomal RNA is filed under the name uncultured prokaryote. Its description in RNAcentral is "bacterial SSU rRNA". It matches the Rfam family "Bacterial small subunit ribosomal RNA", at positions 355 to 774 of the family's 1533-position model. The record is from RNAcentral.